Molecule: unclassified non-coding RNA, 698 nt
Filed under: Hevea brasiliensis (rubber tree)
Lineage: Eukaryota; Viridiplantae; Streptophyta; Magnoliopsida; Malpighiales; Euphorbiaceae
Source: RNAcentral
GCCAUGACAAAUUGGCAAUCACUUGAAUCCAAAUUUUUUUAUUUUCUUGAAAGAAAUUUUCAAAAUUUGUAAUUUUCUUAAAACGUCAAGAAAAUUCCCUCCAACUUAUAACCUGAAAAUUUCAAAUUAUUCAUGCGUUUCUUCUCUCGAACCCGCUAAUCCCAAUCGCUCGCACACGCCGUAUGCUCUGCACUUUUAAUCACAGCCACUAAAGCUCUUGCACACAUCAUCGAAUGGCCAAUUGCCCAACAGAUCACAAUAGCUGUUAAACAUAUUAUUAACCACGCAUGAUCCUUAGAUGUGGGGCCCCACGGUGCACCAAUCGGAAUAUACACGAGUGCACUCAGUCAUUUCUCUCCCAAUCAUCGCUAUGUCGAUAUAAGACCCUGUUUUCGCCACUGCAUACUAGAAUCCACUGAGAAGUGAGAGGAUUCAUAAAAGGUAUUUAUAGAGAGAGAGCGAUAAUGGCGGGCAGAUGGUCCACGUCAGCAUUUAGGUGGCUGGGAUUGGACUUCGCUUACUCUUCCCUCCGAUCGUCGUCGUCGAUCAUCCGGUGGCCGCAGUUCAUGUCGUCCUCGUUCUUAUCGACGAGGUGGGCUCCAAGGGGAGUACUGAUGAGUUGGGACCCACAGUGGUUCUUGAGGUGGCCUGAUCUGGAUUUCUCGAUAGUAGACGACGUUGUUUGGAGCUUGAUCACA